GUAGGUGGUUUGUAAAGCGAAUAGUGAAAUCUGGCGGCUCAACCGUACAGGCUAUUAUUCGAACUCACAAACUCGAGAAUGGUAGAGGUUACUGGAAUUUCUAGUGUAGGAGUGAAAUCCGUAGAUAUUAGAAGGAACACCAAUGGCGUAGGCAGGUAACUGGACCAUUUCUGACACUAAGGCACGAAAGCGUGGGGAGCGAACCGGAUUAGAUACCCGGGUAGUCCACGCCGUAAACGAUGGAUACUAGCUGUUGGAGGUAUCGACCCCUUCAGUAGCGAAGCUAACGCGUUAAGUAUCCCGCCUGUGGAGUACGGUCGCAAGACUAAAACAUAAAGGAAUUGACGGGGACCCGCACAAGCGGUGGAUCGUGUCCUUUAAUUCGAUGCUAAACGAAGAACCUUACCAGGGCUUGACAUCCAGGGAAUUUCUGGGAAACCAGUUAGUGCCUUUUGGAACCCUGUGACAGGUGAUGCAUGGCCGUCGUCAGCUCGUGUCGUGAGAUGUUUGGUUAAGUCCAUCAACGAGCGCAACCCUUGUACUUAGUUGAAUUUUUCUAGGUAGACUGCCCCGGUAACGGGGAGGAAGGAGGGGAUGAUGUCAGGUCAGUAUUUCCCUUACGUCCUGGGCUAGAAACACGAUACAAUGGCAAGUACAAUGCGCAGCGAAGCCGCGAGGUGGAGCAAAUCGCAUCAAAGCUUGUCCCAGUUCGGAUUGGAGGCUGAAACUCGCCUCCAUGAAGUCGGAAUCGCUAGUAAUCGCAGAUCAGCAAGUUGCGGUGAAUACGUUCCCGGGUCUUGUACACACCGCCCGUCAAACCAUGAAAGUGACCAACACCCGAAGUCCGAUUCGUCGGCCUAAGGUGGGGGGCAUGAUUGGGGUU
Molecule: ribosomal RNA, 883 nt
Filed under: uncultured Candidatus Saccharibacteria bacterium
Lineage: Bacteria; Candidatus Saccharimonadota
Description: bacterial SSU rRNA
Rfam family: Bacterial small subunit ribosomal RNA
Source: RNAcentral